RNAcentral lists this ribosomal RNA (478 nucleotides) under uncultured bacterium. RNAcentral describes it as "SSU rRNA". It matches the Rfam family "Bacterial small subunit ribosomal RNA", at positions 26 to 518 of the family's 1533-position model. The record is from RNAcentral.
AGGACGAACGCUGGCGGCGCGCUUAACACAUGCAAGUCGAACGGUGAACGGGGCUUCGGCCCCGGAAUCAGUGGCGAACGGGUGCGUAACACGUGGGCAACCUGCCCCAGACACUGGGAUAACUCCGGGAAACCGGGGCUAAUACCGGAUACUCCGCUUGGAUCGCAUGGUCCGAUCGGGAAAGCUUUUGCGGUCUGGGAUGGGCCCGCGGCCUAUCAGCUUGUUGGUGAGGUAACGGCUCACCAAGGCGACGACGGGUAGCUGGUCUGAGAGGACGACCAGCCACACUGGGACUGAGAUACGGCCCAGACUCCUACGGGAGGCAGCAGUGGGGAAUCUUGCGCAAUGGGCGAAAGCCUGACGCAGCACGCCGCGUGGGGGAUGAAGGCCCUCGGGUUGUAAACCCCUUUCGGCAGGGACGAAGCGAUUGUGACGGUACCUGCAGAGAAGCCUCGGCUAACUACGUGCCAGCAGCCGC